UGCUGCGAGAGCUCCUGCGGCCGCGGCUGCGCCGUCUCCGGGACGGGGGGCAGCAGCGCCGGUUCGAUGCCGGCCGCGGCCA
This 82-nucleotide transfer RNA is filed under the name Streptomyces chryseus. RNAcentral describes it as "tRNA-Arg". The record is from RNAcentral. Lineage: Bacteria; Bacillati; Actinomycetota; Actinomycetes; Kitasatosporales; Streptomycetaceae.